This 365-nucleotide ribosomal RNA is filed under the name uncultured bacterium. RNAcentral describes it as "partial 16S ribosomal RNA". It matches the Rfam family "Bacterial small subunit ribosomal RNA", at positions 338 to 700 of the family's 1533-position model. The record is from RNAcentral.
CCUACGGGAGGCAGCAGUGAGGAAUAUUGGUCAAUGGACGAGAGUCUGAACCAGCCAAGUAGCGUGAAGGAUGACUGCCCUAUGGGUUGUAAACUUCGUUUAUAAAGGAAUAAAACGAGGCACGUGUGCCUUUUUGCAUGUACUUUAUGAAUAAGGAUCGGCUAACUCCGUGCCAGCAGCCGCGGUAAUACGGAGGAGCCGAGCGUUAUCCGGAUUUAUUGGGUUUAAAGGGAGCGUAGAUGGGUUUUUAAGUCAGUUGUGAAAGUUUGCGGCUCAACCGUAAAAUUGCAAUUGAUACGGGCAGUCUUGAGUACAGUUGACGUAGGCGUCAUUCGUGGUUUAGCUGUUACAUGCUUAGCUAUCAC